GGGUGCGAUCAUACCAACGUUAAUGCACCGGAUCCCAUCAGAACUCCGUAGGUAAGCGUGCUUGGGUGAGAGUAGUACUAGGAUGGGUGGCCUUCUAGAAAGUUCUCAUGUUGCACCCC
Vitis vinifera (wine grape) is the source of this 119-nucleotide ribosomal RNA. The record is from Rfam. NCBI's taxonomy places the organism in Eukaryota, Viridiplantae, Streptophyta, Magnoliopsida, Vitales, Vitaceae.